UAAGAAAUUUGUCUGCUCAUUCAAACCUCACAGCACCCACCAUUUCUACAAACCAAUCCUACCCACAUUAGUAUAUAAUCCAUGCAUCCAUCCAAAAUCUAAGCUAGCCCGCUAGUACACUUCUUUAGUUCUCCAGCUCUCAAGAUCAAAAUUAACCAAUAUGGUUGUUAUUAAAAAUCAAUAAGCAGGACACUAAUGAAGUUAAGAUCAAUGGUGAGCUUGAUAUCUAUGCUAGUGAAUGAACCAGUAGUGUCUAUCACGACUAUAUUAUAUCACAGUGGGCAGUUACCAAGGAACUUGAAUUCGGAGAGAAUAGCACGAAGCAAUUUGCUCAGUGAUCUUCAACGUAACUAUGUUUUCCGUUUCCUCAUUGGUAUUUUGAGAUGCGUCUGGUAGUUAUAUGUAAUCUAGAUAUAGACACAGAAAGAGAUAUAAAUAACCGAUUUUUUUCAGCUUUUUUGUGUUUGCAACUGCCAGGAAGACCGGUAGCUGUAAUCUUCAAUGGAUAAAACUUGAUUAAGGUCAAAAAUCCAAGUUCAAGAUUUCUUUCUCUGCGCCGAAGUGGAGAACAGUAUAGGUUUGAAAAUCAGUCAAUAAGCUAGGCAACUAAUGAUGUUAAGAUCGAUUGUGAGCUCGAUAUCUUUGCUAGUGAAUGAGCCAUUGAUAUCUAUAACGACUAUACUCUAUCGCAGUGGGCAGUUACCAAGGAGCUUGAAUUUGGAGAGAAUGGCGGGAAGCAAUUUGCAUGAUGAUCUUCAACGCAACUAUCUUUUCCAUUUCCUCAUUGGUAUUUUGAGAUGCGUCUGGUAGUAAUGUUAACUACUAGUCUAUACAAAGAGAUCGAAAAAUAAUCUUUUGCAGCUUUUUUGCGUUUUUACUGCCAGUAAGAUCAGUAGCAGUAAAAAAAAAUUUGGAAGGCAAUCCAUAUAACUUGAUUAAGGUACAUGGAAACCAUGUUCGCAAAAAGAAAAGAAAAAAAAAAUUUCCCUUUUAUUCAGUGUAGCUAGUUCCAUCCAGGUAAUUAUACAAACCCAAAGCACCAGAAAGAACAACCAACGAGUUGAUUAUGUGAAAUCCACAUUUCCUUUGUAUUUUUAGACUUUGAAUUAAGUGUAAUCUGAUCUAAAUCAAAGAGAGGUAAAAAUUAACACAACAUUUACUUACUUUUGAGAGGAAAAAUCGUUGAGUCUUCGCCGAGAUAGAAGUUCCCACGGAUCAAACCCCAUUACAGUUGUAGAGAGAACGGAUCAAGGAGAGAUCUAAUCAUGU
Long non-coding RNA from Papaver somniferum (opium poppy), 1269 nucleotides. RefSeq lists it as uncharacterized. The record is from RefSeq and is a predicted model, not a curated record. The transcript has 4 exons. Lineage: Eukaryota; Viridiplantae; Streptophyta; Magnoliopsida; Ranunculales; Papaveraceae.